GCCCUAUGGGUUGUAAACUGCUUUUACAGAGGAAGAACCCUCCUUACGUGUAAGGAGCUGACGGUACUCUAUGAAUAAGGAUCGGCUAACUCCGUGCCAGCAGCCGCGGUAAUACGGAGGAUCCAAGCGUUAUCCGGAAUCAUUGGGUUUAAAGGGUCCGUAGGCGGGUCUAUAAGUCAGUGGUGAAAGUCUGCAGCUUAACUGUAGAACUGCCAUUGAUACUGUAGACCUUGAAUUAGUAUGAAGUGGUUAGAAUGUGUAGUGUAGCGGUGAAAUGCAUAGAUAUUACACAGAAUACCGAUUGCGAAGGCAGAUCACUAAUACUAUAUUGACGCUGAUGGACGAAAGCGUAGGUAGCGAACAGGAUUAGAUACCCUGGUAGUCUACGCCGUAAACGAUGGUUACUAGCUGUCCGGCCUAAUUGAGGGCUGGGUGGUUAAGCGAAAGUGAUAAGUAACCCACCUGGGGAGUACGUUCGCAAGAAUGAAACUCAAAGGAAUUGACGGGGGCCCGCACAAGCGGUGGAGCAUGUGGUUUAAUUCGAUGAUACGCGAGGAACCUUACCAGGGCUUAAAUGCAGUCUGACGUAUCUGGAAACAGAUAUUUCUUCGGACAGAUUGCAAGGUGCUGCAUGGUUGUCGUCAGCUCGUGCCGUGAGGUGUCAGGUUAAGUCCUAUAACGAGCGCAACCCCUGUGGUUAGUUGCCAGCACGUAAUGGUGGGAACUCUAGCCAGACUGCCGGUGCAAACCGUGAGGAAGGUGGGGAUGACGUCAAAUCAUCACGGCCCUUACGUCCUGGGCCACACACGUGCUACAAUGGUAGGGACAGAGAGCAGCCACUUCGCGAGAAGGAGCGAAUCUAUAAACCCUAUCACAGUUCGGAUCGUAGUCUGCAACUCGACUACGUGAAGCUGGAAUCGCUAGUAAUCGCAUAUCAGCCAUGAUGCGGUGAAUACGUUCCCGGGCCUUGUACACACCGCCCGUCAAGCCAUGGAAGCCGGGGGUACCUGAAGUCCGUUACCGCAAGGAGCGGCCUAGGGUAAAACUGGUAACUGGGGCUAAGUCGUAACAAGGUAGCCGUACCGGAAGGUGCGGCUGGAACACCUCCUUUCU
This 1113-nucleotide ribosomal RNA is filed under the name uncultured Flavobacteriaceae bacterium. RNAcentral describes it as "bacterial SSU rRNA". It matches the Rfam family "Bacterial small subunit ribosomal RNA", at positions 413 to 1533 of the family's 1533-position model. Lineage: Bacteria; Pseudomonadati; Bacteroidota; Flavobacteriia; Flavobacteriales; Flavobacteriaceae. The record is from RNAcentral.